UAGGGCGGGACACGUGGUAUCCUGUCUUAAUAUGGGGGGACCAUCCUCCAAGGCUAAAUACUCCUGACUGACCGAUAGUGAACCAGUACCGUGAGGGAAAGGCGAAAAGAACCCCGGCGAGGGGAGUGAAAAAGUACCUGAAACCGUGUACGUACAAGCAUUGGGAGCACGCUUAUGCGUGUGACUGCGUACCUUUUGUAUAAUGGGUCAGCGACUUAUAUUCUGUAGCAAGGUUAACCGAAUAGGGGAGCCGAAGGGAAACCGAGUCUUAACUGGGCGUUAAGUUGCAGGGUAUAGACCCGAAACCCGGUGAUCUAGCCAUGGGCAGGUUGAAGGUUGGGUAACACUAACUGGAGGACCGAACCGACUAAUGUUGAAAAAUUAGCGGAUGACUUGUGGCUGGGGGUGAAAGGCCAAUCAAACCGGGAGAUAGCUGGUUCUCCCCGAAAGCUAUUUAGGUAGCGCCUCGUGAAUUCAUCUCCGGGGGUAGAGCACUGUUUCGGCAAGGGGGUCAUCCCGACUUACCAACCCGAUGCAAACUGCGAAUACCGGAGAAUGUUAUCACGGGAGACACACGGCGGGUGCUAACGUCCGUCGUGAAGAGGGAAACAACCCAGACCGCCAGCUAAGGUCCCAAAGUCAUGGUUAAGUGGGAAACGAUGUGGGAAGGCCCAGACAGCCAGGAUGUUGGCUUAGAAGCAGCCAUCAUUUAAAGAAAGCGUAAUAGCUCACUGGUCGAGUCGGCCUGCGCGGAAGAUGUAACGGGGCUAAACCAUGCACCGAAGCUGCGGCAGCGACGCUGAUGCGUUGUUGGGUAGGGGAGCGUUCUGUAAGCCUGUGAAGGUGUACUGUGAGGUAUGCUGGAGGUAUCAGAAGUGCGAAUGCUGACAUAAGUAACGAUAAAGCGGGUGAAAAGCCCGCUCGCCGGAAGACCAAGGGUUCCUGUCCAACGUUAAUCGGGGCAGGGUGAGUCGACCCCUAAGGCGAGGCCGAAAGGCGUAGUCGAUGGGAAACAGGUUAAUAUUCCUGUACUUGGUGUUACUGCGAAGGGGGGACGGAGAAGGCUAUGUUGGCCGGGCGACGGUUGUCCCGGUUUAAGCGUGUAGGCUGGUUUUCCAGGCAAAUCCGGAAAAUCAAGGCUGAGGCGUGAUGACGAGGCACUACGGUGCUGAAGCAACAAAUGCCCUGCUUCCAGGAAAAGCCUCUAAGCAUCAGGUAACAUCAAAUCGUACCCCAAACCGACACAGGUGGUCAGGUAGAGAAUACCAAGGCGCUUGAGAGAACUCGGGUGAAGGAACUAGGCAAAAUGGUGCCGUAACUUCGGGAGAAGGCACGCUGAUAUGUAGGUGAAGUCCCUCGCGGAUGGAGCUGAAAUCAGUCGAAGAUACCAGCUGGCUGCAACUGUUUAUUAAAAACACAGCACUGUGCAAACACGAAAGUGGACGUAUACGGUGUGACGCCUGCCCGGUGCCGGAAGGUUAAUUGAUGGGGUUAGCGCAAGCGAAGCUCUUGAUCGAAGCCCCGGUAAACGGCGGCCGUAACUAUAACGGUCCUAAGGUAGCGAAAUUCCUUGUCGGGUAAGUUCCGACCUGCACGAAUGGCGUAAUGAUGGCCAGGCUGUCUCCACCCGAGACUCAGUGAAAUUGAACUCGCUGUGAAGAUGCAGUGUACCCGCGGCAAGACGGAAAGACCCCGUGAACCUUUACUAUAGCUUGACACUGAACAUUGAGCCUUGAUGUGUAGGAUAGGUGGGAGGCUUUGAAGUGUGGACGCCAGUCUGCAUGGAGCCGACCUUGAAAUACCACCCUUUAAUGUUUGAUGUUCUAACGUGGACCCGUAAUCCGGGUUGCGGACAGUGUCUGGUGGGUAGUUUGACUGGGGCGGUCUCCUCCUAAAGAGUAACGGAGGAGCACGAAGGUUGGCUAAUCCUGGUCGGACAUCAGGAGGUUAGUGCAAUGGCAUAAGCCAGCUUGACUGCGAGCGUGACGGCGCGAGCAGGUGCGAAAGCAGGUCAUAGUGAUCCGGUGGUUCUGAAUGGAAGGGCCAUCGCUCAACGGAUAAAAGGUACUCCGGGGAUAACAGGCUGAUACCGCCCAAGAGUUCAUAUCGACGGCGGUGUUUGGCACCUCGAUGUCGGCUCAUCACAUCCUGGGGCUGAAGUAGGUCCCAAGGGUAUGGCUGUUCGCCAUUUAAAGUGGUACGCGAGCUGGGUUUAGAACGUCGUGAGACAGUUCGGUCCCUAUCUGCCGUGGGCGCUGGAGAACUGAGGGGGGCUGCUCCUAGUACGAGAGGACCGGAGUGGACGCAUCACUGGUGUUCGGGUUGUCAUGCCAAUGGCACUGCCCGGUAGCUAAAUGCGGAAGAGAUAAGUGCUGAAAGCAUCUAAGCACGAAACUUGCCCCGAGAUGCGUUAUCCCUGACCCUUUCAGGGUUCUGAAGGAAAGUUUAAGACGACGACGUUGAUAGGCCGGGUGUGUAAGCGCAGCGAUGCGU
RNAcentral lists this ribosomal RNA (2493 nucleotides) under Escherichia coli. Its description in RNAcentral is "bacterial LSU rRNA". It matches the Rfam family "Bacterial large subunit ribosomal RNA", at positions 413 to 2886 of the family's 2925-position model. The record is from RNAcentral. Lineage: Bacteria; Pseudomonadati; Pseudomonadota; Gammaproteobacteria; Enterobacterales; Enterobacteriaceae.